RNAcentral lists this ribosomal RNA (406 nucleotides) under uncultured bacterium. RNAcentral describes it as "partial 16S ribosomal RNA". It matches the Rfam family "Bacterial small subunit ribosomal RNA", at positions 30 to 526 of the family's 1533-position model. The record is from RNAcentral.
AUUGAACGCUGGCGGCCGGCCUAACACAUGCAAGUCGAACGAGUGGCGGACGGGUGAGUAAUGUAUGGGAAACUGCCUGAUGGAGGGGGAUAACUACUGGAAACGGUAGCUAAUACCGCAUACUAUCGGAUGUGCCCAUAUGGGAUUGGCUAGUAGGUGGGGUAAAGGCUAACCUAGGCGACGAUCCCUAGCUGGUCUGAGAGGAUGACCAGCCACACAGGAACUUGGACACGGGCCGGACUCCUACGGGAGGCAGCAGUGGGGAAUAUUGCACAAUGGGCGCAAGCCUGAUGCGGCCAUGCCGCGUGUAUGAAGAGGGCCUUCGGGUUGUAAAGUACUUUCGGCGGGGAGGCGUUACCCGCAGAGGAAGCACCGGCUAACUCCGUGCCAGCAGCCGCGGUAAUUC